Molecule: long non-coding RNA, 240 nt
Organism: Rana temporaria (common frog)
Lineage: Eukaryota; Metazoa; Chordata; Amphibia; Anura; Ranidae
Exons: 3
Source: RefSeq, a predicted model, not a curated record
CUGUCUCUACUGACAAUAGGCAUUUUUGCUUACUAUUGACAGUUUGCAUAUGUGUUUCCACAUGUGCUUUCCUGAUUUUUCAGAUUAAUUCUAUCAAUGGCUUAAAAUCCUGCUGUGGUUCUCCUGAACUAUUCUGUUUUUCCCUGAGGACUCUGGUUCCUUCCUGUAUGGUCUGCUGUCUUUUGCUGUUUUACCUUUUUGCAUUGUAUGUCUGAAAGCUCCUGAAGAAACUUGUCGGAG